ACACUGCUGAUGAAUCCCAAACAGGACGAAACAGUUGUCCAGUGC
RNAcentral lists this non-coding RNA (45 nucleotides) under Echinostoma caproni. The record is from RNAcentral. Lineage: Eukaryota; Metazoa; Platyhelminthes; Trematoda; Plagiorchiida; Echinostomatidae.